GCCUAGCCAUAAACACAAAUAGUCUUCUACUCCGACUAUUCGCCAGGGAACAACGAGCCCCAGCUUAAAACCCAAAGGACUUGGCGGUGCUUUAGACCCCCCUAGAGGAGCCUGUUCUAGAAUCGAUAAUCCCCGUUCAACCUCACCCUCUCUUGUUUCCCCCGCCUAUAUACCGCCGUCGUCAGCUUACCCUAUGAAGGACAAACAGUAAGCAAAAUUGGCAAAACCCAAAACGUCAGGUCAAGGUGUAGCGCACGAGAGGGGAAGAAAUGGGCUACAUUUACUGAAACAGUAAACACGGAUCUUGCACUGAAACGUGCACUUAAAGGAGGAUUUAGCAGUAAGGGGAGAAUAGAGCGCCCCCCUGAAAACGGCCCUGAAGCGCGCACACACCGCCCGUCACUCUCCCCGAAAUAAUUAUCAAAUAAAUAAUAAACCACCCACUAUAAAGGGGAGGCAAGUCGUAACAUGGUAAGUGUACCGGAAGGUGCACUUGGAAAAACC
This 504-nucleotide ribosomal RNA is filed under the name Gobiidae sp. GO202. RNAcentral describes it as "partial 12S ribosomal RNA". It matches the Rfam family "Bacterial small subunit ribosomal RNA", at positions 794 to 1528 of the family's 1533-position model. Lineage: Eukaryota; Metazoa; Chordata; Actinopteri; Gobiiformes; Gobiidae. The record is from RNAcentral.